This is a non-coding RNA of Phalacrocorax carbo (great cormorant), 124 nucleotides long. Lineage: Eukaryota; Metazoa; Chordata; Aves; Suliformes; Phalacrocoracidae. The record is from RefSeq and is a predicted model, not a curated record.
GCUGCUUCAGCAGCGGCGAUGGCUGCCCCAGCAUCUUCAAGAGGGUACCACCGAGGAGUGUUGUCAAGCUGAGAGACACUCGAUAACUCAAUCAAGACCUAUAAAUAAAUCAAAGCACAAUACA